This 761-nucleotide ribosomal RNA is filed under the name uncultured prokaryote. RNAcentral describes it as "bacterial SSU rRNA". It matches the Rfam family "Bacterial small subunit ribosomal RNA", at positions 707 to 1482 of the family's 1533-position model. The record is from RNAcentral.
CACCNAUUGCGAAGGCAGGUUACUAAGCAACAACUGACGCUGAUGGACGAAAGCGUGGGGAGCGAACAGGAUUAGAUACNNUGGUANNCCACNNNNUAAACGAUGCUAACUNGUUUUUGGAAUGUAAGUUUCAGAGACUAAGCGAAAGUGAUAAGUUAGCCACCUGGGGAGUACGAACGCAAGUUUGAAACUCAAAGGAAUUGACGGGGGCCCGCACAAGCGGUGGAUUAUGUGGUUUAAUUCGAUGAUACGCGAGGAACCUUACCAAGGCUUAAAUGGGAAAUGACAGGUUUAGAAAUAGACUUUUCUUCGGACAUUUUUCAAGGUGCUGCAUGGUUGUCGUCAGCUCGUGCCGUGAGGUGUUAGGUUAAGUCCUGCAACGAGCGCAACCCCUGUCACUAGUUGCCAUCAUUAAGUUGGGGACUCUAGUGAGACUGCCUACGCAAGUAGAGAGGAAGGUGGGGAUGACGUCAAAUCAUCACGGCCCUUACGCCUUGGGCCACACACGUAAUACAAUGGCCGGUACAGAGGGCAGCUACACUGCGAAGUGAUGCAAAUCUCGAAAGCCGGUCUCAGUUCGGAUUGGAGUCUGCAACUCGACUCUAUGAAGCUGGAAUCGCUAGUAAUCGCGCAUCAGCCAUGGCGCGGUGAAUACGUUCCCGGGCCUUGUACACACCGCCCGUCAAGCCAUGGAAGUCUGGGGUACCUGAAGUCGGUGACCGUAACAGGAGCUGCCUAGGGUAAAACAGGUAACUAGGGCU